UGACUGAGCGGCGGACGGGUGAGUAACGCGUGGGUAACCUGCCUCAUACAGGGGAAUAACAGUUAGAAAUGGCUGCUAAUGCCGCAUAAGCGCACAGGACCGCAUGGUCUGGUGUGAAAAACUCCGGUGGUAUGAGAUGGACCCGCGUCUGAUUAGGUAGUUGGCGGGGUAACGGCCCACCAAGCCGACGAUCAGUAGCCGACCUGAGAGGGUGACCGGCCACAUUGGGACUGAGACACGGCCCAGACUCCUACGGGAGGCAGCAGUGGGGAAUAUUGCACAAUGGAGGAAACUCUGAUGCAGCGACGCCGCGUGAAGGAAGAAGUAUCUCGGUAUGUAAACUUCUAUCAGCAGGGAAGAAAAUGACGGUACCUGACUAAGAAGCCCCGGCUAACUACGUGCCAGCAGCCGCGGUAAUACGUAGGGGGCAAGCGUUAUCCGGAUUUACUGGGUGUAAAGGGAGCGUAGACGGACAGGCAAGUCUGAUGUGAAAGCCCGGGGCUUAACCCCGGGACUGCAUUGGAAACUGUCCAUCUUGAGUGCCGGAGAGGUAAGCGGAAUUCCUAGUGUAGCGGUGAAAUGCGUAGAUAUUAGGAGGAACACCAGUGGCGAAG
This 614-nucleotide ribosomal RNA is filed under the name uncultured Lachnospiraceae bacterium. Its description in RNAcentral is "bacterial SSU rRNA". It matches the Rfam family "Bacterial small subunit ribosomal RNA", at positions 88 to 720 of the family's 1533-position model. Lineage: Bacteria; Bacillati; Bacillota; Clostridia; Lachnospirales; Lachnospiraceae. The record is from RNAcentral.